ACAGUGGACGCGAGCAUCUGUGGCCAAGUUUUUAAGGGCGCACGGUGGAUGCCUUGGCACCAGGAACCGAUGAAGGACGUGGGAGGCCGCGAUAGGCCCCGGGGAGCUGUCAACCGAGCUGUGAUCCGGGGGUGUCCGAAUGGGGAAACCCGGCAGUCGUCAUGGGCUGUCACCCACCGCUGAAUGUAUAGGCGGUGUGGAGGGAACGCGGGGAAGUGAAACAUCUCAGUACCCGCAGGAAGAGAAAACAACCGUGAUUCCGGGAGUAGUGGCGAGCGAAACUGGAUGAGGCCAAACCGUAUGCGUGUGAUACCCGGCAGGGGUUGCGUGUACGGGGUUGUGGGAUCUCUCUUUCAUGGUCUGCCGGCCAUGAGGCGAGUCAGAAACCGUUGAUGUAGGCGAAGGGCAUGCGAAAGGCCCGGCGUAGAGGGUAAGACCCCCGUAGCUGAAACAUUAGCGGCUCGUUUGAGAGACACCCAAGUAGCACGGGGCCCGAGAAAUCCCGUGUGAAUCUGGCGGGACCACCCGCUAAGCCUAAAUAUUCCCUGGUGACCGAUAGCGGAUAGUACCGUGAGGGAAUGGUGAAAAGUACCGCGGGAGCGGAGUGAAAGAGUACCUGAAACCGUGUGCCUACAAGCCGUGGGAGCGUCGCACAGCAAGCUUGCUUGUUGUGUCGUGACUGCGUGCCUUUUGAAGAAUGAGCCUGCGAGUUUGCGGUGUGUUGCGAGGUUAACCCGUGUGGGGUAGCCGUAGCGAAAGCGAGUCCGAUAAGGGCGUUUGAGUAGCACGCUCAAGACCCGAAGCGUAGUGAUCUAGCCAUGGGCAGGCUGAAGCGGAGGUAAGACUUCGUGGAGGGCCGAACCCACCAGGGUUGAAAACCUGGGGGAUGACCUGUGGUUAGGGGUGAAAGGCCAAUCAAACUACGUGAUAGCUGGUUCUCCCCGAAAUGCAUUUAGGUGCAGCGUCACAUGUUUCUUGCCGGAGGUAGAGCACUGGAUAGGCGAUGGGCCUUACCGGGUUACUGACCUUAGCCAAACUCCGAAUGCCGGUAAGUGAAGUGUGGCAGUGAGACUGCGGGGGAUAAGCUCCGUGGUCGAGAGGGAAACAGCCCAGAGCAUCGACUAAGGCCCCUAAGCGUACGCUAAGUGGGAAAGGAUGUGGAGUCGCAGAGACAACCAGGAGGUUGGCUUAGAAGCAGCCACCCUUGAAAGAGUGCGUAAUAGCUCACUGGUCAAGUGAUUCCGCGCCGACAAUGUAGCGGGGCUCAAGCGUACCGCCGAAGUCGUGUCAUCGAUACAUAUACCUCCAACGAGGGUAUUGAUGGGUAGGGGAGCGUCGUGUGCCGGGUGAAGCCGCCGUGUAAACGAGUGGUGGAUGGUUCACGAGUGAGAAUGCAGGCAUGAGUAGCGAUUCACACGUGAGAAACGUGUGCGCCGAUUGACUAAGGGUUCCUGGGUCAAGCUGAUCUGCCCAGGGUAAGUCGGGACCUAAGGCGAGGCCGACAGGCGUAGUCGAUGGAUAACCGGUUGAUAUUCCGGUACCCGCUGUGAAGCGACAAACAUUGAAUCAGGCGAUGCUAAGCCCGUGAAGCCGCCUUUGAUCCCUUCGGGGUGAUGAGGAGUGGUGGAGCCGGUGACCCAGACUUGUAGUAGGUGAGUGAUGGGGUGACGCAGGAAGGUAGUCCAGCCCGGGCGGUGGUUGUCCCGGGGUAAGGGUGUAGCCCGAGCAAUAGGUAAAUCCGUUGCUUAUGGGGUGAGACCUGAUGCCGAGCCGAUUGUGGUGAAGUGGAUGAUCCUAUGCUGUCGAGAAAAGCCUCUAGCGAUGUUUCAUGGCGGCCCGUACCCUAAACCGACUCAGGUGGUCAGGUAGAGUAUACCGAGGCGUUCGGGUGAACUAUGGUUAAGGAACUCGGCAAAAUGCCCCCGUAACUUCGGGAGAAGGGGGGCCAUUUCCGGUGACGGCAUUUACUGCCUGAGCUGGGGGUGGCCGCAGAGACCAGCGAGAAGCGACUGUUUACUAAAAACACAGGUCCGUGCGAAGCCGUAAGGCGAUGUAUACGGACUGACGCCUGCCCGGUGCUGGAACGUUAAGGGGACCGGUUAG
This 2103-nucleotide ribosomal RNA is filed under the name Streptomyces coryli. RNAcentral's name for it is "partial 23S ribosomal RNA". It matches the Rfam family "Bacterial large subunit ribosomal RNA", at positions 1 to 1893 of the family's 2925-position model. The record is from RNAcentral. Lineage: Bacteria; Bacillati; Actinomycetota; Actinomycetes; Kitasatosporales; Streptomycetaceae.